This 440-nucleotide ribosomal RNA is filed under the name uncultured bacterium. Its description in RNAcentral is "partial 16S ribosomal RNA". It matches the Rfam family "Bacterial small subunit ribosomal RNA", at positions 338 to 795 of the family's 1533-position model. The record is from RNAcentral.
CCUACGGGGAGCAGCAGUGGGGAAUAUUGCACAAUGGGGGAAACCCUGAUGCAGCGACGCCGCGUGAGUGAAGAAGUAAUUCGUUAUGUAAAGCUCUAUCAGCAGGGAAGAAAAUGACGGUACCUGAGUAAGAAGCCCCGGCUAACUACGUGCCAGCAGCCGCGGUAAUACGUAGGGGGCAAGCGUUAUCCGGAUUUACUGGGUGUAAAGGGAGCGUAGGCUGUUUCGUAAGUCGUGUGUGAAAGGCGCGGGCUCAACCCGCGGACGGCACAUGAUACUGCGAGACUAGAGUAAUGGAGGGGGAACCGGAAUUCUCGGUGUAGCAGUGAAAUGCGUAGAUAUCGAGAGGAACACUCGUGGCGAAGGCGGUCUGCUGGACAGCAACUGACGCUGAGGCGCGAAAGCGUGGGGAGCAAACAGGAUUAGAUACCCGUGUAGUC